GAACGCGAAGAACCUUACCAGGUCUUGACAUCCCUCUGACCGCUCUAGAGAUAGAGUUUUCCUUCGGGACAGAGGUGACAGGUGGUGCAUGGUUGUCGUCAGCUCGUGUCGUGAGAUGUUGGGUUAAGUCCCGCAACGAGCGCAACCCCUAUUGUUAGUUGCCAUCAUUCAGUUGGGCACUCUAGCGAGACUGCCGGUAAUAAACCGGAGGAAGGUGGGGAUGACGUCAAAUCAUCAUGCCCCUUAUGACCUGGGCUACACACGUGCUACAAUGGCUGGUACAACGAGUCGCAAGCCGGUGACGGCAAGCUAAUCUCUUAAAGCCAGUCUCAGUUCGGAUUGUAGGCUGCAACUCGCCUACAUGAAGUCGGAAUCGCUAGUAGUCGCGGAUCAGCACGCCGCGGUGAAUACGUUCCCGGGUCUUGUACACACC
RNAcentral lists this ribosomal RNA (433 nucleotides) under uncultured bacterium. RNAcentral's name for it is "bacterial SSU rRNA". It matches the Rfam family "Bacterial small subunit ribosomal RNA", at positions 957 to 1391 of the family's 1533-position model. The record is from RNAcentral.